Molecule: non-coding RNA, 182 nt
Filed under: Ardenticatenaceae bacterium
Lineage: Bacteria; Bacillati; Chloroflexota; Ardenticatenia; Ardenticatenales; Ardenticatenaceae
Description: 6S RNA
Rfam family: 6S / SsrS RNA
About the family: E. coli 6S RNA was the first non coding RNA to be sequenced, but its function was unknown until recently. It consists of 184 nucleotides that fold into an extended hairpin structure with a large single-stranded internal bulge. The 6S RNA specifically associates with RNA polymerase holoenzyme containing the sigma70 specificity factor.
Source: RNAcentral
GCUCCCCAGUGGUGUGCGUGAUACGAUAAGAAGCUUUGAGCCAACACCUGAUCAAAGGGAGCCAAUCUCCAGAAAGGCGCGCGGGCUGCUUCCAUGUGGGGUGGUCGGUGAUGCCGGGUAGGUUCCCACCUGCGAAAGCAGGUUCACAAGCUCCUUGCGUUACACGGCACUGCGGAGGAGCG